UACGUAGGGGGCUAGCGUUGUCCGGAUUUAUUGGGCGUAAAGAGCGUGUAGGCGGCCAGGUAGGUCUGCUGUGAAAACUCGAGGCUCAACCUCGAGACGUCGGCGGAAACCAUCUGGCUAGAGUACGGAAGAGGCAAGUGGAAUUCCUGGUGUAGCGGUGGAAUGCGCAGAUAUCAGGAGGAACACCUAUAGCGAAGGCAGCUUGCUGGGACGUUACUGACGCUAAGGCGCGAAAGCGUGGGGAGCGAACAGG
RNAcentral lists this ribosomal RNA (253 nucleotides) under uncultured bacterium. RNAcentral's name for it is "partial 16S ribosomal RNA". It matches the Rfam family "Bacterial small subunit ribosomal RNA", at positions 524 to 776 of the family's 1533-position model. The record is from RNAcentral.